The sequence is a regulatory RNA element, 101 nucleotides long. It matches the Rfam family "HIV primer binding site (PBS)". From Rfam's summary of the family: This family consists of several, structured HIV primer binding sites (PBSs). tRNA(3)(Lys) binds to the PBS to initiate reverse transcription. The record is from Rfam.
CUCUGGUAUCUAGAGAUCCCUCAGAUAACUGUAGUCUGUGCGGCCAAAAUCUCUAGCAGUGGCGCCCGAACAGGGACUUGAAAACGAAAGUAAGACCAGAG